AGAGUGAACGCUGGCGGCAGGCCUAAUACAUGCAAGUCGAACGGCAGCACGGCAGAGCUUGCUCUGUGGGUGGCGAGUGGCGGACGGGUGAGGAAUACAUGGGAAUCUGCCCAGUCGUGGGGGAUAACGUAGGGAAACUUACGCUAAUACCGCAUGCGCCCUUCGGGGGAAAGCCGGGGACCUUCGGGCCUGGCGCGAUUGGAUGAGCCCAUGUCGGAUUAGCUAGUUGCGGGUAACGCCCACAAGGCGACGAUCCGUAGCUGGUCUGGAGAGGAUGAUCAGCCACACUGGAACUGAGACACGGUCCAGACUCCUACGGGAGCAGCAGUAGGGAAUAUGGACAAUGGGCGCAAGCCUGAUCCAGCCAUGCCGCGUGAGUGAAGAAGGCCUUGGUGUAAAGCUCUUUGCCGAAAGAAAGUCUUCGGACAACGUACCCGAGUCCGUAGACCGGUACGAA
Molecule: ribosomal RNA, 457 nt
Filed under: uncultured soil bacterium
Lineage: Bacteria
Description: bacterial SSU rRNA
Rfam family: Bacterial small subunit ribosomal RNA
Source: RNAcentral